ACUGCUGACAAAGUGCCCGCUGCGGAGAGAACAUGCAAAUCGUAAAGACGCCGUCAAUCCCUCCCUGGAGGGUCGUGCUGCGUCAUCCCUGGCGCGGACGCUUU
Molecule: non-coding RNA, 104 nt
Filed under: Yersinia enterocolitica
Lineage: Bacteria; Pseudomonadati; Pseudomonadota; Gammaproteobacteria; Enterobacterales; Yersiniaceae
Description: Yersinia sRNA 224
Rfam family: Yersinia sRNA 224
Source: RNAcentral